This 398-nucleotide long non-coding RNA is filed under the name Cyanistes caeruleus (blue tit). Its description in RNAcentral is "lncRNA (ENSCCEG00000011673.1)". The record is from RNAcentral. Lineage: Eukaryota; Metazoa; Chordata; Aves; Passeriformes; Paridae.
AGCCAUUUCCUUCUUUAAUUUUUAUUUAUUUUUUAUUUUUUAUUUUUUUUGUGUGUAUGUGUGUAUGUAGCUUUCGACUCCUGAAAUGGCUUGUGAAAGUUAAAAAUGCUCUGUAAGCUGAGUGUCUGCAAGCAAAGUACCUUCUGUCUGGUCUUCUCUGAGAAGCACAAAAGCUGAAGACAACGGAGGGAAAUUGAAGAGAGCAAGAGGCCAUGAAAAACUUGAUGUGUUCUGUUCACCCAGAAGAUUUCCUGAAGGAUGCAUAAAUCUGACAUGAGAAUACAUGAAUAACAGUUUGAUGGAAUGGAGGUGGUGUUUUGCCAAAACUAGGAACAAACCAGAACAUUGAAGCAAUGCUCAUUAAGUGGUAAACUUCUGGCAAAAGAAAAAGAAGGUAU